UACGAAGGGGGCUAGCGUUGCUCGGAUUGACUGGGCGUAAAGGGCGCGUAGGCGGUUCGUACAGUCAGACGUGAAAUUCCUGGGCUCAACCUGGGGGCUGCGUUUGAUACGUGCGGACUGGAGUGCAGUAGAGGAGAGUGGAAUUCCUGGUGUAGCGGUGAAAUGCGCAGAUAUCAGGAGGAACACCGGUGGCGAAGGCGGUUCUCUGGGCAUUACCUGACGCUGAGGAGCGAAAGUGUGGGGAGCGAACAGG
Molecule: ribosomal RNA, 253 nt
Filed under: uncultured bacterium
Lineage: Bacteria
Description: partial 16S ribosomal RNA
Rfam family: Bacterial small subunit ribosomal RNA
Source: RNAcentral